AGACGGGGGUGCUUCUGGGUG
Molecule: unclassified non-coding RNA, 21 nt
Filed under: Mus musculus (house mouse)
Lineage: Eukaryota; Metazoa; Chordata; Mammalia; Rodentia; Muridae
Description: oocyte_clustered_small_RNA12315
Source: RNAcentral